Molecule: long non-coding RNA, 5549 nt
Filed under: Gallus gallus (chicken)
Lineage: Eukaryota; Metazoa; Chordata; Aves; Galliformes; Phasianidae
Description: lncRNA (ENSGALG00010007477.1)
Source: RNAcentral
UUCUUUCCCAUCAAGGUGAAAUAAUAGCAUUCAUCUUGCACACUUCUGGAGUUCCUGUUAAGAUUUUCAAACUAGUGAGUUUCUGUUGUCACAGUAGCUUAAGUUUUCCAGCCUUGGUUCAGUGUUCUAAAAAAUUGCUUUCCUUUAAUCUUGCAGUAGGUGGAAUUUCACUCAAGUGACCAGUCAUAUCCAAUUUAUCCAGGGAAAUCUCUGAUAACAGACAGAAAGCAGAAACAUGUGUUGCCCUUGAAGUCACAUACAGGUUAACCACUCCCUUUUUUCUGCCCAAGUCUGUGUGUCCAGGAUCCUCUUAGCUGCCCAGGUAGGGUGUGCUUCUUCCCUUCCCAUUGGGACAACAGUACUAGGGGAUGAUGGGGACCAGGGUGACAUAGGGUGUCUCAGACGUCGUUACACAAAUACAGGGACAGAAGCAUGAGCCUGACAAUGCAGCACUUCUCACAACCUGCUACAGUGGUUAUUUGGUUGUUCAACAUAGUCCUGUUUUGGUCAGAAGUGCAGAGUGCACACCUGUGUUGUAAGGGAUCUUAAGUUCCUUCAUUAUUUCUUGAAUUUUAUUGAACUUGCCUAAUGUUGCUGCAUAUUAGACUCUCAAUUGCCUGACUGAUAAUUAGUUGGGUUUUUUUGUUUUGUUUUGUUUUUUCCCUGUAUCUUAUAAUGUGAGCUGGAAGUUGUUGCAACAGAGUCUCACAGAAUGGUUGAGGUUGGAAGGGCCGUCUGUGUCCCUCAGGCCCAAGCCCUGCUCCAGCAGGGACACCCAGAGCAGGGUGCCCAGGGCCACAUCUAGGUGACUUUGGAAGAUCUCCAAGGAGGAAACCCCACAGCCUCUGGGCAGCCUGUGCCAGUGCUUCGUCACCUGCACAGUACAGCAGUACUCCUGGUGGUCAGAGGGAACCUCCUGUGUGCCAGUUUCUGCCCAUUGCUUCUUAUUUUAAAGCUAUGCAGGUGAACAUCCCCUCCUUAUAAUCUUGCAUCGUAGUGAUCAGAUAAUGCAAGAUGUAUCUUUCUUUCCCUUUUAGAAGGGUGCAAACAAGAAAGAGGUUUUUUUCUUUCUAACUCUGUCCCUCAGGCAGAGUAAACUAGGAUUGCUGCAAUUUAAUUUGAGGGGAUGAAACUACACAGAUAUGCAGCAGCUAACAAUUAGACCUAAUAUACUUUAUUGAGGUUGGGACUCAAAUCAUAACCAUACAUUUACUGAUGUCUUUAUCACUGAGAAAACUUUAUUUUGGUCAGUAGAAAAUUGAUCUGAGUACUGCUCUGCAUCAUAGGCUUCAUGGGAUUGGCAUGUUUUGGAAAAAAUGCUAAAGAAACACAUUUAAACCUGAGGUGGGAGAAAGACCUCAGAUUCCUGUAGUCACUAUGACUACAACAAAAAUUGGUAGGCAUUAUAGCUUUAGAUCAAUUUCACAGGAGGUACUGAAGUUUUUCAAAGCCAUUAUGAGUUUCUAAAAUAUUUGAAACAUUUUGCAAAAUUACACAAUUAAAGGUAAUGCCUUCCUUGUUUAGACUGGCUUAGAAGAAAUAUUAAAGAGAAUGCUAAUCUUCUGGCAGCAUUAUGAAGCUCAGCUUCCCAGCAGCACUUUAAGUGGCAGGGCAUUUCACCAAAUUAUGGCUGUUGCUAGACAUCCUGAACUGGCCAUCUGUAGCUAAUUAAAUCUCUUCGAUCCUUCCACUGCUUCUGCCCCAUGAAUUUGCUAAUAGCUGCUUCUCAUCAAUGCUUGCAAUUUUUGCCGCAGUACCAAAAGCAUCAUUGGUUGUGAUUUUGAGGUAUAGCACCUGAAUAAGCAGUGCAGAAGGGGCUGGGAAGUGCAAAAAGACAAAGGAAAGUAUAAAUGAUCUUUAUAAAUGCAGUAAUAGGCUUUAUAUAUCUUUACAUGGUAUGUAUUGGAUGCUGUGUAUGUAAUGUAUUAUAGCAAUGUUGUAUAUUGUUUAUGGUGUUGUAAGAGAAUUUUAUAAGUGCGUAACAUAUAUAUAUUCCAAGUUUUACAUAUAUACAUAUAAAUAUACAUACAUACCAUGUCAGAGUGUCUUACUUUUAACUUAAAAGUAAGUCUGCAUUUCUCUCUGCAGUUUGGAUGAGCAUAAGUAUCUAUAUGUAAUUUGAAAAAAAAAAAAGUUUGUUAUUUUUCAUCAUAGUGUUUGCUGUAUUGAAAUUACUAAUUAAGAUUUCUUUGAGUUUGCAUUUGGAACAGUACGAAGGCAAAAAUCUGGAACUACUAGUUGGAAAACAUUUUCCCUUGAACUGAAUAUGUGUACUUUGUCAGCUCCAGCAGCGAUGUUUCCUGUAACGUACCACAGCUGCCGUCAGGUUUAAAAGCGGCAGUAGCAAAGUGCUCAUUGCAGUGGCAGUACUUGGGUUUCAUUUGGCUUGGGUGAAGCCAGAUGUGCUGGCUAUGGGACUGUGUACUGUCAGUCAUGGAAAUGCAUUCAUAUAAUCUCCUGAAAUAGAUCUUCAGUGAAGAGAAGGAAGAAAGUAAUGCCGGAUGAAGGCUGCUGAAGUAGUGAAGAAAUCUUGUAUGUGUCAGGAAUUCAAAUAUAUAUGUACAUAUAUGCAUCUGAUUUGAGAACCUCUGAAACAAUGUGAUUGAUAGAACUGAUGGAAUGUUUUUUGGUUUCAUUUUGCGGCAUGACAGCAGAGUUGACUGAAUUCUCAACUUUGUACAAACAGCUUUUAAAAGCAAAAUAAAAUUGCAACUGCAGUGAAAUGUUAGUGUGCUUAUGCAAAUACCUGUUUCAGUCACACAGUGUAUUUUAACUCGCUUGUUCUCAGUCUACAGUGAGUUUAUCACUGACAAGUAUCAGGGAGUUGCUAUGGAUAUGUAGCAUAUGUAUAAAUGCAAACAUACGCAUAUACAUAUAAAUGCAUAUACAUAAAUAUACGGAUGUAUAUGUAUAUAUACAGCAUGUAUGUAUAAAUAUGGAGUAGGUCCAGGGGAGGGCCACUGAAAUGGUCAGAGGGCUGGAGCACCUCUCCUAUGAGGAAAGGUUGAGGGAACUGGGCUUGUUUAGCUUGGAGAAGAGAAGACUCCAGGGAGACCUCAUUGUGGCCUUCCAGUACUUGAAGGGAGUAUAUAAACAGGAGGGGGAGUGGCUGUUUAUGAGGGUGGAUAGUGAUAGGACAAGGGGGAAUGGUCUUAAACUGAGGCAGGGGAGGUUUAGGUUGGAUAUUAGGAGGAAGUUUUUCACCCAGAGGGUGGUGAUGCACUGGAUCAGGUUGCCCAAGGAGGUUGUGGAUGCCCCAUCCCUGGAGGCAUUCAAGGCCAGGCUGGAUGUGGCUCUGGGCAGCCUGGUCUGGUGGUUGGUGACCCUGCACAUAGCAGGGAGGUUGAAACUCAUUGAUCAUUAUGGUCCUUUUCAACCCAGGCCACUCUAUGAUUCUAUGAUAUAUAUAUGUAUUAUACACAGUUGUCUUUAAAAGAACUGGAAACUGACCCUAUCUUUAUUAACUCAGUAACCUGGACAUGUAAGAAAAAAGCCUCAAAUACUAAAAAUGGUACAAAAGCUUUUGGCUGAUGCAAGAGACAACUUGAGGUCUAGGCAGUGAGGGAAAUCAAAAACAGGUAAAGGAGCAGAUUAAGACAUAAUAGCUACCAUUAGGUUUUUAAAAUAAAAAAUACAUGAAUUCAAAAAAUGUGAUGUUUUAUGAUUGGUAAUUUGUGCAAAACAAAUUUGUACAAGACAAAUUAACAACGGAAACCAAGAAACUGACUGCAUUGAAUUUAUUUUGCUUUAACUGAGAGCUUUAAAUGCUUUUCUAGCUUGACAUUGAGUGUGAUAGAGGAAAACCAGUGGUAAACCAAUGGAAACCAAUGGAAACCAAUGGAAAACCAUUACAGGGCAUGCUUGAAAUACAUUUAACUUUCUAACAAGUCUAGAAAAGAUUAACCCAGAUGAAAAUGUUUCUGAAAACAAAUACCUCUGACAAAGAUUCUUUACACCGUAGGUCAGCAGGUAGUAAAAUACCUAUUAGAAAAUCUGAUGAGCAUUUCUUAGUCAAAUAACUACUGUGUCCUUCUUUAAGGAGUAAUAAGUGUCUUAGUCAAAUAAAUACUGUGUCCUUCUUUAAGGAUAAGACACAGUAUCGGCAGAGUAGUUCCUGUAGGUCAUACCCAAAUUUACUUUUGAUGUUUGUAUACAAAUAUUGGUUGCAAAGGGUCAAGCAUAAGUUUUAACAACAAUCUGGAUUGUGAAUCACUCUUGUGAGCUCUUCCAUCCCAAGAUGCUGAAAAUGAAAGUCUUUAAACUUGCAUCCUUUCUUACGCCUGCUCAAGAACAUUCCACAGCUCUAAGGAAUAUCAUUCCAAGUGCAGAGCACGGAUGCUGGGCCUGGGCAGUAUGCAGAGAUUCCCUACUGAGUUUCUGCAGGAUCUUAGAGAGCCCCAGAUAGCCAGGGAAAAUUGUUAAGAGGUCAAGGACUGUAGAGCAGCCAAGCAUCUGAUCUGGCAUUAAACAUGACUUUGGAGGAAGAAACUAUCCCUCUUAUGGUAAGUAUAACCUGAUUCUGUAAACAGUUGUUUAUUCUGUAACUUUCACAGUGAAAACCAUUGCUGUAGGAGUUUUGGUUCCAGAAUCAGUCUCCAGUCUGUUCAUCCACUACCACCAAAAAAUUUUCCUAACGGAAAGCAAGAUGUGCAUUUCUCUAUAGGACAAAGAUGUAGCUGGGAAGAGGGAAUUCGGGAGUUGUCAGAUUCUUGUAGUUAAACCUUUUUCUCCUCCAAAUUAUAACAUAGUAGAACCAUAGAAUGGCUUGAGUUGAAAGGGACCUCAAGGAUCAUGAAGCUUCAGCCCCUCCACUACAGGCUGGGCCACCAACCUCCAUAUCUAAUACUACACGAGACUGCCCAGGGCCCCAUCCAACCUGGCCACGAACACCUCCAGGGACGGGGCAUCCACAAGUUCUUUGGGCAGGCUGUUCCAGCACCUCACCACUCUGUUGUGAAGAACAUUCCCCUGAUAUUGAACCUAAAUCUUCCCUCCUCCAACUUGAAACCAUUUCCCCUUGACCUGCCAUUAUCUACCCUUUUGAGGAGUUGACUCCCCUCCUGUUUGUAGGCUCCUUUUAGGUACUGGAAGGCUGCAGUGAGGUCACCCCUCAUCCUUCUCUUCUCCAGGCUGAACAAGCCCAGCUCCCUCAGCCUGUCUUUGUAGGUGAGGUGCUCCAGCUCUCUGAUCAUCUUUGUGGCCCUCCUCUGGACCCUCUAACAUUCCAUUUUCUGGAACAUUUGACUUUUCAGUGCCUCUAAAAUAUAUUUUCUUGUAAUUUUGUAUUGUUUUUGAUGUGGUAAAAUUCUAAUAUGGCCUCGCUUCUAUGUUAAUUAAGAAAUAGCACAUGGUUACAUUUCAGCUGGACACUUGCUAAUAGAAAAGCACCAUUUGGACUUAGUCUGCCUGUGGCUGUACUUCUCAUAAUAAAAUCACUUCUUGAUGCCUCUGUUUCCCUUCAGUCUGCAUCUUGUCAGCUGGAAUUGCGUGCCCCCUCUGAGAAAGAAACUGUCUCCCAGUACUUAGUACCAUGGAUGCCUGGUCCCAGC